GAUGAACGCUGGCGGCGUGCCUAAUACAUGCAAGUCGAGCGAACGGACGAGAAGCUUGCUUUUCUGAUGUUAGCGGCGGACGGGUGAGUAACACGUGGAUAACCUACCUAUAAGACUGGGAUAACUUCGGGAAGCCGGAGCUAAUACCGGAUAAUAUUUUGAACCGCAUGGUUCAAAAGUGAAAGACGGUCUUGCUGUCACUUAUAGAUGGAUCCGCGCUGCAUUAGCUAGUUGGUAAGGUAACGGCUUACCAAGGCAACAAUGCAUAGCCGACCUGAGAGGGUGAUCGGCCGCACUGGAACUGAGACACGGUCCAGACUCCUACGGGAGGCAGCAGUAGGGAAUCUUCCGCAAUGGGCGAAAGCCUGACGGAGCAACGCCGCGUGAGUGAUGAAGGUCUUCGGAUCGUAAAACUCUGUUAUUAGGGAAGAACAUAUGUGUAAGUAACUGUGCACAUCUUGACGGUACCUAAUCAGAAAGCCACGGCUAACUACGUG
RNAcentral lists this ribosomal RNA (497 nucleotides) under uncultured bacterium. RNAcentral's name for it is "partial 16S ribosomal RNA". It matches the Rfam family "Bacterial small subunit ribosomal RNA", at positions 28 to 507 of the family's 1533-position model. The record is from RNAcentral.